CGUGUAGGCGGGCAAUCGAGUCAGAUGUAAAAGGCGACGGCUUAACCGUAGUAUGUCAUCUGAUACUGGUUGUCUUGAGUUCGAGAGAGGGUAGUGGAAUUCCCGGUGUAGCGGUGAAAUGCGUAGAUAUCGGGAAGAACACCAGAAGCGAAGGCGGCCACCUGGAUCGACACUGACGCUGAGACGCGAAAGCGUGGGUAGCAAACA
RNAcentral lists this ribosomal RNA (207 nucleotides) under uncultured bacterium. RNAcentral's name for it is "partial 16S ribosomal RNA". It matches the Rfam family "Bacterial small subunit ribosomal RNA", at positions 568 to 774 of the family's 1533-position model. The record is from RNAcentral.